GACGAACGCUGGCGGCGUGCUUAACACAUGCAAGUCGAACGGAAAGGCCCUGCUUUUGUGGGGUUCUCGAGUGGCGAACGGGUGAGUAACACGUGAGUAACCUGCCCUUGACUUUGGGAUAACUUCAGGAAACUGGGGUUAAUACCGGAUAGCAGCUCCUGCUGCAUUGUGGGGGUUGGAAAGUUUCGGCGGUUGGGGAUGGACUCGCGGCUAAUCAGCUUGUUGGUGGGGUAGUUGCUUACCAAGGCUUUGACGGGUAGCCGGCCUGAGAGGGUGACCGGCCACAUUGGGACUGAGAGACGGCCCAGACUCCUACGGGAGGCAGCAGUGGGGAAUCUGGCACAAUGGGCGGAAGCCUGAUGCAGCAACGCCGCGUGCGGGAUGACGGCCUUCGGGUUGUAAACCGCUUUCGCCUGUGACGAAGCGUGAGUGACGGUAAUGGGUAAAGAAGCACCGGCUAACUACGUG
RNAcentral lists this ribosomal RNA (468 nucleotides) under uncultured bacterium. Its description in RNAcentral is "partial 16S ribosomal RNA". It matches the Rfam family "Bacterial small subunit ribosomal RNA", at positions 28 to 507 of the family's 1533-position model. The record is from RNAcentral.